UACGAAGGGGGCUAGCGUUGUUCGGAAUUACUGGGCGUAAAGCGCACGUAGGCGGAUACUUAAGUCAGGGGUGAAAUCCCGGGGCUCAACCCCGGAACUGCCUUUGAUACUGGGUAUCUCGAGUCCGGAAGAGGUGAGUGGAAUUCCGGAGUGUAGAGGUGAAAUUCGUAGAUAUUCGGAGGAACACCAGUGCGAAGGCGGCUCACUGGUCCGGUACUGACGCUGAGGUGCGAAAGCGUGGGGAGCAAACAGG
This 253-nucleotide ribosomal RNA is filed under the name uncultured bacterium. RNAcentral's name for it is "partial 16S ribosomal RNA". It matches the Rfam family "Bacterial small subunit ribosomal RNA", at positions 524 to 776 of the family's 1533-position model. The record is from RNAcentral.